CCAGCAGCCGCGGUAAUACGAGGGGUGCAAGCGUUAUUCGGAAUCAUUGGGCGUAAAGGGUACGUAGGCGGUAUGUUGAGUCAGCUGUUAAAUUUUCCGGCCCAACUGGAAGCCAGCAGCAGAUACUGAUGUGCUAGAGGGUGAGAGAGAGAAGUGGAAUUCUCGGAGUAGCGGUAAAAUGCGUGGAUCUCGAGAGGAACACCGAUGGCGAAGGCAGCUUCUUGGCUCAUUCCUGACGCUGAGGUACGAAAGCGUGGGUAGCGAACAGGAUUAGAUACCCUGGUAGUCCACGCCGUAAACGAUGAUCACUGGAUGUCAGUUUUGUUUUACAAAAUUGGUAUCGUAGCUAACGCGUUAAGUGAUCCGCCUGGGGACUACGGUCGCAAGGCUAAAACUCAAAGGAAUUGACGGGGGUCCGCACAAGCGGUGGAACAUGUGGUUUAUUCGACGCUACGCGAGGACUACUAGCUGACAUGCUUUGAUCGCCAUAGAGAUAUGGUUUUUGGGCUUCGGAUCAAACAACUGCACAGGUGCUGCAUGGCUGUCGUCAGCUCGUGUCGUGAGAUGUUGGGUUAAGUCCUUUAACGAGCGCAACUCUUGCCGUUAGUUGCUACUUAUUUUUAAGGCACUCUAGCGGGACUGCCUGGGAAACCAGGAGGAAGGUGGGAACGACGUCAAGUCAUCAUGGUCCUUAUGUCUAGGGCUACACACGUGUUACAAUGGCCAGUACAACGAGUCGCAAGCUUGCAAAAGUUAGCUAAUCUCAAAAAGCUGGUCUAAGUUCGGAUUGGGGUCUGCAACUCGACCCCAUGAAGUUGAAAUCGCUAGUAAUCGCGUAUCAGCAACGACGCGGUGAAUACGUUCUCGGGCCUUGUACACACUGCCCGUCACACCACAAAAGCUGUUUGUACCCGAAGCUAUCUUAGCUAACUCUUACGAGGGGCGGAUAUCUAAGGUAUGGGCGGUGAUUGGGGUGAAGUCGUAACAAGGUAGCCGAU
RNAcentral lists this ribosomal RNA (998 nucleotides) under uncultured delta proteobacterium. RNAcentral describes it as "bacterial SSU rRNA". It matches the Rfam family "Bacterial small subunit ribosomal RNA", at positions 508 to 1504 of the family's 1533-position model. The record is from RNAcentral. Lineage: Bacteria; Deltaproteobacteria.